UUUGAUUUAAUUAUUUUUUUUUUAUAAGAAAUUAGUUUUAAUUUGAAUUGUAUUUAUUUAUUUGUUUUUAGUAUUAUUUUGAAUUAAUUUUGUUUAUUAUAGUUUAUUAGUACUGUUAGGGGUUUUAUUUAUUAUUUUUAAAGUUGAAUUUAUUUUGUACCUUUUGUAUCAGGGUGGAUUUAAUUAUUGUUAUUUAUUUAUUUUUCUCGAAUUGGAUAGAUCUAUAAAUAUAUAUUAGUUAAAGUUUUAUAUUUAUUAAUUAUUUAUUUUUAGGUGUGAUAUACUAAUCGUUAUCUAAGAUAUCUAGUUCCUUAAUAAUUGAAUUUAAUUUAGCUGUUAUUUUGUUAUGGUUAUGCUUUUUAUAACUGUAUGUAUUUGAUAGUAAUAUUUUGGGGGAUUAGCUUCAUUUUUAUUUAUUAAAAUUUAUUUUCAUGUUUUUGUAUGUAGGCUUUAUAUUGGUCAUUAUUUUUUAGUAUUUUAUAAUUUAUUAAAAUUUAUUUUUGAUUUAUUUUAGUUUAAUUAUUUAUUAAGGUUAUUUAUUUAAUUUUGUGUUAUUUUUAAUAAUGGUUUAAUUAGUAUAUUGUUUUUUAUGUUGUUAAUAGUUUUUAAAAUAUUUAAAAGGAAUUAGGCAAAGUAUUUAUUAAUUUACUCGCCUGUUUAUCAAAAACAUCUUUUUUUGAUAAUAAUUUAAAAUAUAUCCUGCCCAAUGAUGUUGUUUAAUGGCCGCGGUAUUUUGACCGUGCAAAGGUAGCAUAAUCAUUAGCCUAUUAAUUGUAGGCUUGUAUGAAUGGUUUGACGAAGUAUUAACUGUCUCUUUUGUAAUAUUAUAACUUAAAUACUUAGUUAAAAUGCUGAGAUGUUAUUGUGGGACGAGAAGACCCUAUAGAUCUUUAUAUUUUAUUUUUUUAUUAUUUUUGGCUUAUUUUUGUUGAUUUAAUAAAAUAUUUUGUUGGGGUGACAUUGAGAUAUAUUUAACUCUUUAUUUUUAUUUACAUUGAUUUUUGAUUAAUUGACCUUUUACUAAUGUUAUAAGAUAUAGAUACCUUAGGGAUAACAGCGUAAUUUUUCUUGAGAGUUCAUAUUGACAGAAUAAGUUUGCGACCUCGAUGUUGGAUUAAGAUUAUAAUUAGGUGUAGGUGCUUAGUUGUUAGGUCUGUUCGACCUUUAAAUUCUUACAUGAUCUGAGUUCAAACCGGCGUGAGCCAGGUUGGUUUCUAUCUUUAAUUACUUAUUUUAUAUUAGUACGAAAGGACCAUAUAGAUUAAAUAUUUUAUUUUAUUGAUUAUUUU
This 1289-nucleotide ribosomal RNA is filed under the name Orestes mouhotii. Its description in RNAcentral is "l-rRNA". The stretch from base 1050 to 1209 matches the Rfam family "Archaeal large subunit ribosomal RNA", at positions 2542 to 2701 of the family's 2987-position model. Lineage: Eukaryota; Metazoa; Arthropoda; Insecta; Phasmatodea; Heteropterygidae. The record is from RNAcentral.